RNAcentral lists this long non-coding RNA (1321 nucleotides) under Marmota monax (woodchuck). Lineage: Eukaryota; Metazoa; Chordata; Mammalia; Rodentia; Sciuridae. The record is from RNAcentral.
ACAGUGAGUUCCGAUGGUUUUUGUCGUCAUCGUGGUGGUGUUGUUUCUCAGAGAAAGAAAGCACUAGAGAAGACAUCUGCACUUUUGUUUAUUUAUUUUUAUGCAAUGCUGAGGAUCCAACCCAGGGCCUCAAAUGUGCUAGGCGAGCACUGUACCGCUGAGCCACAACCCCAACCCUGACAUCUGCACUUUUGUGCUGCUGUGGCACGGGCAGCGACAUUUAUCCAAAAUCCACGAUCAGGUCAUCUGGGGUUUCAGUUGCACGCCCAGGUUUUGACCCAGGUGCAGUCUUUCUAUCCCGAGAAGGAGGUAUAGGACAGGAUCAUGUCCUGCCUCCCACCCACCUCACCCGGACUCCCCAGUCGGGGUGUCCCACAGAUCAGGUUAGGAGCCACCCCUGGAAAGCAGGCAGCCUUCUUGGCGCCUUCCUUAAGAUCAAGACUUCACGCCACCCUGCGCAGCCUUUGUUCCUGGACCCGAAAGGCAGCACAGAAGGAAGAAGGUGGUGGCGCCCAAUGCGGAGAAGGAAGGAGAGUACUACGUGAGCCAGCUCCGCGGUGCUGGGUGCUGGGUGCUGGGUGCCGGGUGCAUGCACACAUUUGUAGUCAAGGUUCUCAACUUUGUGAGGUAUUUUUGUCUAUUUUAUAAUCGAAAUAUUAUAAUUAAGGCUCUGAGAAGUCAGGUAACUCCGUCAACACAUACAGCCAAUAAGCAGCAGAACCUGGGGUUUUAUGUCCCCUCUGUGCCAUUCUACUAGAUGGCGUGGGAGUAGGGCUGCUUGGGGUGGGAGAGUGGCAGGAGGAAGCGUGAUUCACAGAUCCCUCACUGAGCCUUGGGCUCCUUUCUCUGAGGAGCAAGACUUGACCAAGCUCUGGGGGUAGACACUUGACCAAGCCCUGAGCAGAGCCCUUCAUCAAUGAUUCCUCCCUCUCUUUGGUGCCAGGGAUGGAGCCCAGGGCCUCACACAUGCUAGACAAGCUCUCCACCACUGAGUCACAUCCUCCGUCCUUUCUCCCGAGAUUUAGCAGCUGGCACUUAGGUGCUCGUCAUCCCAUGGUCCUCACUUCAGUUGAGAACUCAUGAGCCAUGGGGCAGCCGUUCCCUACCAUACGCUCAGAGGCAGCUGGUCUGCAAGGGGAGAAGAAAGAACCACCUUGCUGAGAGGACAGCCCAGGGGAGAGACUAGAACGACUGCGGCUGCCACAGCUGCACUUCUGAGCCCUUGAGAGGCAUGCCUGGCCGUGGGUUCAAAGGCCACCCUGAUAUCAAAACCCAGGGCUUGGAGAUGUCUCCUGCUCACAGUGUAGAUGCUCAAGGGAGC